GUUAGCGGGAGGCUUAACACAUGCAAGUCGAGCGAGAAGGAACCUUCGGGGUUCUGAGUAAAGCGGCGGACGGGUGAGUAACACGUGGGUAAUCUGCCCUUCGGUGGGGGACAACAGUUCGAAAGGACUGCUAAUACCGCAUACGUCAGUCAGGUCUGCGGGCCAGACUGGGAAAGGUGGCCUCUACUUGUAAGCUAUCGCCGAGGGAGGAGCCCGCGUCGCAUCAGCUUGUUGGUGGGGUAAUGGCCUACCAAGGCGAAGACGCGUAGCUGGUCUGAGAGGAUGAUCAGCCACACUGGGACUGAGACACGGCCCAGACUCCUACGGGAGGCAGCAGUGGGGAAUAUUGGACAAUGGGCGCAAGCCUGAUCCAGCCAUCCCGCGUGAGUGAUGAAGGCCCUCGGGUCGUAAAGCUCUGUGGAGAGGGACGAAUGGCCAGAGGAACAAUACCCUCUGGUUUGACGGUACCUCUUUAGCAAGCACCGGCUAACUCCGUG
This 497-nucleotide ribosomal RNA is filed under the name uncultured bacterium. RNAcentral describes it as "bacterial SSU rRNA". It matches the Rfam family "Bacterial small subunit ribosomal RNA", at positions 35 to 507 of the family's 1533-position model. The record is from RNAcentral.